This 392-nucleotide long non-coding RNA is filed under the name Mytilus galloprovincialis (Mediterranean mussel). Lineage: Eukaryota; Metazoa; Mollusca; Bivalvia; Mytilida; Mytilidae. The record is from RNAcentral.
UAUAAAAUAAAAAAACAAGAAACGAGAAACACGUAUAUAUUACAUAAACAAACAACAACUACUGUACAUCAGAUUCCUGACUUAGGACAGGUGCAAACAUUUGCAGCGGGAUUAAACGUUUUAAUUGAUCCAAACCUUCUCCCUUUUUCUGAAACAAUAGCAUAACAUCACAACAUAGAAAAACACACGAUAAAAUAUCAAUUGGCAGGCUUAACUCAAUCAAAAAACGUACAUUAAUACACUAUAAACGAAUAAAUUUGAUCUGCGAUAUCUGAAUGCAAAUGCACAGUUAAUAAAAUAUUAGGGACAAACAUUCAAGGCCAAAAAGCCAACAAACAAGUCCAAACAAAGCCAUGUCAAGACACCACUGCGAAAUAUUUAACCCUUCGAAA